Molecule: long non-coding RNA, 1203 nt
Filed under: Volvox carteri
Lineage: Eukaryota; Viridiplantae; Chlorophyta; Chlorophyceae; Chlamydomonadales; Volvocaceae
Description: long non-coding RNA (VCAR_LNC000658)
Source: RNAcentral
CUUUAUUUUACAAAAAUGGGCCACAUCCAAUUGGCCAUCCAAUCUUUUCUCUCUUCACUCUCUUCCAAGUGGUGUAGCCACAGAGAACAUACAAACACUAUUUUGGUAUUGCUGUGGCUGCCAGUUCAACUCUGGCAUGGAAGUCAUUUUUCUUACUCUGACUAUAUACCUACUACUAUUAUACUAAAGGGUAGUACCAGUACUACUAUAUACAUACAAGUAGUAGUAGUAGUAGCAGCACAUACAAUAAAUCGCAAGUGUGAUCCAGGGAUGCCAUUUCGUGAAAUAAAAUUUUCAAAAUUCUCGCCAGUCCAGAAAUGCAAGUCCAGCAGGUGCGGCGGCGGCGGGAAUUAGCAACGGAGUAGCAGCGGCAGCGACGGCGGUGGGGCUGGGAGGGCCAUUAGUCUCAACAAGAGGCGCGGCGGCGGGGGGAAUUAGCAACAGCAGCAGGCGUGGCGGUGGGGGGAAUUAGCAACGGCGUAGCAGCGGCAGCGACGAAGGUGGGGCUGGGAGGUGCAUUAGUCUGAACAACAGGCGCGGCGGCGGCGGGAAAUAGCAACAGUAGCAGGUGCGGCGGCGGCGGGCAUUAGGAACGGAGUAGCAGCGGCAGCGACGAUAAAGGGGCUGGGAGGUGCAUUAGUCUCGACAAAAGGCGCGGCGGCGGCGGGAACUAGCAACAGAGUAGCAACGGCAGCGACGGCGGUGGGGCUGGGAGGUGCAGUAGCCUAAACGGCAGGCGUGAUAGCGGCGGGAACUAGCAACGGAGUAGCAACGGCAGCGACGGUGAAGGGGCUGGGAGGUGCAGUAGCCUAAACGGCAGGCGUGGCAGCGGCGGGAAAUAGCAACAGCAGCAGGUGCGGCGGCGGCGGGAAUUAGCAACGGAGUAGCAGCGGCAGUGACGAAGGUGGGGCUGGGAGGUGCAGUAGCCUAAACGGCAGGCGUGGCAGCGGCGGGAAAUAGCAACAGCAGCAGGCGCGGCGGCGGCGGGAAUUAGCAACGGAGUAGCAGCGGCAGUGACGAAGGUGGGGCUGGGAGGUGCAGUAGCCUAAACGGCAGGCGCGGCGGCGGCGGGAAAUAGCAACACAGCAGCAGCGGCAGCGACGAAGGUGGGGCUGGGAGGUGCAGUAGCCUAAAUGGCAGGCGCGGCGGCGGCGGGAAAUAGCAACACAGCAACAGCGGCAGCGACGGCGAAGGGGCUUGGAG